Molecule: long non-coding RNA, 583 nt
Organism: Zea mays
Lineage: Eukaryota; Viridiplantae; Streptophyta; Magnoliopsida; Poales; Poaceae
Exons: 3
Source: RefSeq, a predicted model, not a curated record
AGUCGGAUCGCAGAGGUAUCCUGCCCUGCAGUUCCUCCUCGGCGGAAACCAAGACCCUAGCUCUCGUCGUCGUCGGCGUCGGCGGCGGCGACCGUGGCGGAUCCGACAGCCAGCCCUCGUCGCAGCCGGGCCGCCAUUGCCGUCGUCCAGCUCCCAAGACGGCGUACCUCCUUAUGUUCUCCAGAUCCGGAACCGUGCGGAUGGUGUUCGGGGUUCGGCGACCGGAAAGAAAAACGUUUUGGCCCGGUCUUGACAUAAGGUUGGAGAGUUGGAAUGACUACUCAAGACGUCGGUUAGCAAUGGACUGUUCGGUUAGCACUGGAUUAAAAAGGAUUGAAGGAAAUUAAAUUACUAACAAAAUAAAUUUCUUGUUAGUAAAAAAUAAUUAGAAGAGGAUUUAAUCACUUACCUUAAUCCUCUUCGAUCUAAGAAUUUACUGUCCAUGAUCUUCACGCGAUGCUUGUGUUGAUGCCCUCAGUCUCAGCUACGUACUUCCCUUAUUCUUUGACCAAGCCUACUGAGGAGAGGAAAGAGCAUGAUCGCAAGAGCCCGGUGACAGCAUUGGAGGUCUAUCCCAGCAAAA